AUGAUAUGUGCUUAUUUCAGAGAUAAAAUUUUGAGAACUUUCUACUCUUUUAGUAUUAGACAUGCAGCGCAACUGCAGAUAUGGACAAUUUGUAUUGCAGACCUUAUAGCACUGUUGGAGAAAUGUGAGCCAACAAUAAUUCGUCUUUGUCACCUGAUCAUAGGCAAUGGAUGCAGAUUUUGCUGCAUGAAAACCACCUGAUGGUCUGGCAGAGGGAAAAUCCUCCAUGACAAGGAACCUGGCAUCAAACCAGUUUGAUGGUACCAUAGCAGAGUCAGGUGGGUAGGGUCUCAGAGGUCAUGUCCACAUCACACACCACCACGUUCCUCCAGAUCAUGGGUAAAAAAUAGCAAUACUUCUAUUCAAAUCAUUCUAAUAUUUUCACUGUCUACAGAGAACAAUACAGUGUAUUAUUUCUUCAGCUGAAAUAAGAAAACACCCCAAUGGAUUGCGCUUGCUGAGCAAUCUGGUUGUAAAGGCAUUAUGGCAAACUGUGUGUGCCUUCUGUAGAGAGAAAUCUAAGCUGGAAAACAUUGUACCCUAGCUUUAUCUAACACUGGGUGAUGAAAACACUGAUCUCAAUCAUCAGCCCAGUCCUGGUGUAUAGAUAUACCGUGAGGGCAAAAAAAAACCAGCUAUCUUCUAUACUCUUCUUUUCUGUCUCUGAUUCAAACACGUAAAUUGAAUCAAGCACUUUUAUGUACAUAUUACAUAAACUGUAACAGAGGAGCUGACAAUACAGCCUCACUGGUGCUAUUACUGUAGACAGUGUUUGUCAUUCUCCUGUUUAUUUUCCAUAAGAUUUUUUACUCUUGGGAGUCAUCAUAAUACAAAACCUAGUAUUGUCAAUCCUCAGAUGAUGUUUUGUUUCUUUCUAGCUUUAGUUAUGCUCAAAAAAAAAAAAAGUGCAAAUAUCCAUCAGCCCUCACAGCAUCACCGUGAGAAAGCAUAAGGAGGAAUUUCUGACCUGCUUCACACAAAGGAAAAUGAGGCAGUGCAAGAAAGGAGCUGCUGAAGGUCGUAUACCCAGUCUGUGACAGAAACAGGGUCAGAACUCAAGACAUGGUUAUUAACUUUAUUUCCCCACCCCCUUUUUUUUCCCCUCCUUACCACCUCUAUCCCCACUGUCAGUGUGUCUUUGCUUGGUACAGGCUGAAGUGACUGAUUUACCUUUAAAAUAACUAACUGGACAACCUGUUGU
RNAcentral lists this long non-coding RNA (1201 nucleotides) under Anas platyrhynchos platyrhynchos (common mallard). Its description in RNAcentral is "lncRNA (ENSAPLG00000025804.1)". Lineage: Eukaryota; Metazoa; Chordata; Aves; Anseriformes; Anatidae. The record is from RNAcentral.